CCUUCUCCCUCUGCCCCUCCCCCUCCUUUUCUCAAAAAAAAAAAAAAAGCUGUCAUACUUAAGAAGUACAAUACAAUAGCCAAAAGAAAUGACAAAGGAAUUCUACUCCUUCCUCAUAUCUCCUGGACAGUGAAGCAGAUCUAAGCACACAAUACACAGACGAUCCCUUCCUCACACACAUACUCCACACCCUUGGCUCAAGUUCCCGACCCCCCCCAAACCCUCCCCCUCCUCUGCAUGUGCUGUUAUUUUUCUCUUCUGUCCAUGCCAUCUGUUCUUUCCUUCUGUGGAACUUAGCUUCUCUCCCAGUAAGAAAGAAUACUUUCUGGAUAGAGGAGGAAAAUCAGAUUGGCAUCUUUAGGAUUUCUCUUAGAUGCAUGAAGAACGAUGAAGUCUUUCACAUGCUCUAAAGUGGGAAACACAAUGAAAAUGUCAUAUAUUACCAUGAUUUUUGUAGUCACCCACUAAUUAUCAAUGAUAUAAGGUCAUGGAAUAGAUACGCCUUGUACCCCAAACAAAUCACUUAGCUGCUAAAAAGUACUCCCAGGUCUUUAAUAUUGUGUUUUAUCCAUUUUAGGACCCCCUCCUCCCCAUCUUUUAACAUUUCUGAAAUAAGAACAUGCCUUUCAAUGAAUAAUGUUUUAGAAUCACCAUUAGCCCGUUUCCCCCUCCCCCAUUUUAAAGUCUCUGGAACCUUCUCAUCAGGGAGGUCUGAACUAGGAUGAGGACGAUUGAUUCCACCUGUUUGGCACUGACUGCCGAGCGCCACAGUGAGCGCAAGACCCUAAUGCAACUGGGGGCAGGGUUUCCAGGUCACUGUUGUGGAAGAGGCCGGCGGGGGAGCAGCUUGUCCAUGAAGGGGAGGGACUCCUGGAGCAGGGGUCAGGCCUGUGGCCAUCUGCUCUUGGGGUCUGGUAGCUCACCUGACUUAGGAGACCCAGGUGAAAGGGAGCCUCAGGACUCCAUUUAAACCUCGUUGUGCGGCGCACAUCCCGCUUCAGGAUUCCUUGCCGGGCACCUGGGAUUCCUCCCCACCCAAUUCCAAUAUCAGGCAGCUGGUCCUAGAGAUACAGACCAUGUCUGAAGUCAGGCCCCGCAUUCCUGUGACAUUCAGUCUUGUAGCCCCUGCAGGCACCUUAAGGGACCGCAAUUCGAAAUUGUACGAAACAAUUGCAACGAUGCUGUGGCGUCCUGCCAGGAGCCCAGGGGUGCCGGGAAGGUGCGACCCUAUUAAGAAGGUAUUAGAUGUGGCCAUCCUAGUCCCCGCACCUGCAGCUAUCCCCCAGCAACACCUGAAUCCGUGGUGCCCAGAAUCUCAUGGCAAGGGCGGCCUGUUCUUCCAUCCUCCUCCAGCCUAAACCUGAGUCUUGCAUCCACCUGAGCCAAAGACACAGCAGUGCUGGGAGAGAGAGUAUAGCACGAGCAAGCGGGGGUAGAGACGGAGGGAGAGAAUCUUCAAGCAGACUCUCCAAUGAGUGCGGAGCCUGACAUGGGGCUUGAUCCUGUGAUCCUGAGAUCCUGACCUGAGCUGAAACCAAGAUUGGAUGCUCAACCGGCUGAGCCACCCAGGAGCAUGGAGAGGAAGUGAUUUGAAGGGAUUGGUUCAUGUGCUAUGCGGCUGACACAUCCAGAAUAGUGUUUGACUACCUCCGUGGGCACCAUGGGCCAGCCAAGCUGACAUAGAAGUUAACCACCACAGAGAGGGCUCCUUUGAGAAAUCAGACGACAACCAGACGACUGGCAGCGCAGAGUUCAAAUUCCUAUGGUAGUUGAAUUGAGUUGCAGUGGUUGAGAAGAAGUCCUCAGCUCAGGAGGCGCCUGUACGGGAUCUCUGCAGUCCCUACCACCCCCUAUUGCCUGCUGGGCACUGGGAUUUUCCUUAGGCUCAUUGUGCUCCCUUCCUUUACAUUUGCUGCCUGCCUCUGGAAUCCCUGCUGUAGACCAACGUUUCCUUUACCGAGGAGGAAACAAAGGCCCACAGAGGGGAUCCAUCUUGCCCAAGAUGAGGUGAAUGAGGACUUGAACCCAGGGCUUUUCCUACACACCCAGUCUCUUUUCUCCACACCUGGAAGAGAAAGCGUUGGGAAGCCGUGCUCUCCGGACACCAGUCUAGUGUGCUGUCCAUCGUUAUCUUCGGAAUGCUACAAGGACUCCGGGCAAUAGGAACCAGAAAGGGAAUGUGAAGGUGACGGUGAUAAGAUUUUUUUUUUUUUUUAACAGUAAGAGACUGUGACUCGGAGAGGAAAAAAUUUCCCCAGUCACAAAGAUCAAGGAAGCAAAAAUGUGGAAGAGAAAGAGGAAGGAAAUUCAAGCUGCCCCAGAGUCGGAGCUGUCAGAAACACCAAAAUCCCCCCAGACUGGGAAACAUAAUUAUUACAGAAAGCCUUGCUUCGAUCGGAGUCUGGGGACUGUCAACAUUGAGAAACUUUAGAAAUUGCAAAUUUUUUUUGUAGAUGAAAGAUAAAAACACACUUGGAUGGGGAAAGGGGAAGUUCUAUUUUUGAAGUGGACACUGAUCUGGAAUAAACACUGCCCUAAAAAUCAGACAGUGAUACAGGCACCCUGCUUCAAAGCUGAAAAAGAAACUUGAUUUGCAUUAUCUUACAUGUUACAAAAAGCUUCGAAUUGUUUUAUGGCCAAAGGGGUCUGUUCUCCUUUUUGCUCCCCUGAUGGCAUCCUGUGAUCUCGGAGAGAGAUGCUUAAAUGCCAGGAAGCUGCUGGCAAUGUCUCAGACCAAAUAUCCAUGAGAAUAGAUGACCUUGUUGGCACAAAGUGGCUUUCUUUCUCACAAGGGUGGUUUUCUUGUUUGUUUUUUUGUUUUGUUUUGUGUUUUUUUGUUUUAUUUUGUUUUUUUGGUUUGUUUCUAGCACGUGUUUGUAGAAAUUAGUUCCUCCAGGACGGGAAUCUUCCACCUCUGUUAGUUUGGGUCUUUACUGAGCUCUGAAGGGCCUGCGAGGCAGGAGAUGCCCCUGCUCCCCCGAGGGUGGGUAGUGGAGCCUCUGAGCUUUGUGGUCUCUGCACUCCCAGAGCUGACCUGGGCUUACUGUGCGCUGUGACUUACUAAGGCUGGAUACGCUACGAUGUUUUCAACAAUUUCUGGUAGCCUUUUGCUUCUCCCAAUAUUACUUUUUAGUUGACUUACAACGUGGCCUGGGCAGUGGGCCUUGCAUAUAUGUCCCUCUGAAAACGCCACACUGUGUGCAAAAGUUUUAUGAUUAGCAGAACUUGAAUUUAUGUAGCGUGCGGAAACUGUCUUAAAACAUUCCCUGCUCCCAUAACCUGUUUUUCACACAAAGUCAGCCUUGGGUGGGUUCUCGGAAGACUCUCUUCUGUGGUUCCGUCCUCGCCUUCCUGGGCAGGCCAGGAUCUCCAGGGAGACGCUGAGAAGUGGUUGUAGCUGCUGUCAUGUCCCUGGUCUUCAAGGCACUGCUCUGGGCCCACCCAGUUUGGUGCACUCACCCUUUCUUAUUACAUGUGGGGUAGGUUUUAAAAAAAGUAUUUUCUUCUUUUUCUAGUUGACUAUUUUUUUAUCAUGGUAGAUGUUGAAUUUUAUUGAACGCUUUCUUCAUCUAUUAAGAUGGUCAUGAGAUGUUUUUCUUUUGCUCUGUUAUGCAGUCAAUUCAUCCCGUUGUACUGUCUUUUUCCUUAUGUAUACGUGGAUUCAGUUUGCUGGUGUUUAUGAUUUUGUGUCACGUUCAUGAGUAGAAUUAUCCUGUAGCUUUCCUUUUCCACACUGACCUUGGUUGUUGGUACGGGUUAUGCCAGCCUCAAAAAGUGAAAAGAGUCAUGCAUUUUUCUUUCUUCCUUUUUUUUUUUUAAAGAUUAUUUAUUUAUUUAUUUAUUUGACAGAGAGUGACAGCCAGCGAGAGAGGGAACACAAG
Long non-coding RNA from Ailuropoda melanoleuca (giant panda), 3881 nucleotides. RefSeq lists it as uncharacterized. The transcript is spliced from 5 exons. NCBI's taxonomy places the organism in Eukaryota, Metazoa, Chordata, Mammalia, Carnivora, Ursidae. The record is from RefSeq and is a predicted model, not a curated record.